RNAcentral lists this microRNA precursor (66 nucleotides) under Schmidtea mediterranea. RNAcentral describes it as "Sme-Mir-1-P24_pre stem-loop". The record is from RNAcentral. Lineage: Eukaryota; Metazoa; Platyhelminthes; Tricladida; Dugesiidae.
GCAUUUUUCGAGGCAUUUCAUAGAGUCAAAUGAAAAUAAACCUGUGGAAUGUCGAGAAAUAUGCAU